Myxocyprinus asiaticus (Chinese sucker) is the source of this 413-nucleotide long non-coding RNA. RefSeq lists it as uncharacterized. The record is from RefSeq and is a predicted model, not a curated record. NCBI's taxonomy places the organism in Eukaryota, Metazoa, Chordata, Actinopteri, Cypriniformes, Catostomidae. The transcript is spliced from 4 exons.
GUCAGCACAACAACAUGCAGCCUGGAGCACCCUCCAGUGGCAACAGAGACAUAUAAUGAUUCAGAGAGGUGACGCAUUACCUCAGCUGCAACAGUGCAACAAGUGUUGCAGCAAUUACCACUGCCCUUUUUGCUUGGCCAGAGUGUUUAAGCCAGCCAAACUGGUCAAAUUAAAAAGUCAUCUUCAAAGCCACUUCAACAAGGCAGCUGUACAUGGAGUAAGAUGACAGCAAAAAUUGCUCCAGGCACAUGGAUGCUACUGAAAAACAAGGAUGACCCCCAACAAAUUGGUGGUGUGGACUGUGGAGUCUUCAUGCUGAUGGUGAACAAAUUAUGUUUUGAUAUAAAUAAACCAUUGGUGUGCUUCUUAGAUUGUAGUUAAAGAAGGAACAAGGAAGCAAUUUCUUAUUUAUG